AGUGUCUGAGAUUACGUGAGAGUGAGAGAGAGAGAUAGAGAGAUAGCGAGCGAGCAAGCGAGAGAUAAGGAUUGUUGUAGAGAAAGUGAGGGGGUCCUGAGCUGCAUGAUUCAAGUGUCUUUCCUGAGCAGCAAGGAGAGAUGUCAGGUUAUGUCCAGUUCACUAACUCCAGCCAGGAUAGUGGAUGUGAAUACAGCAGGCCAGGAGUCAGGGCUAUUCAAUUACUGUCCUGGAGGACCAAAACAGUUCUGGUUCUCACCACCUGAUCAAGGAUUGAUUUAGACCUGGGACACUAAGGGAUGGAGUGAGUGACAGUAAGAGCGAGGGAUGAGAGAAAGGAUGAGAAGGAGAUCUGAAGAAUGAGGCGACCUGCCCUGGG
This is a long non-coding RNA of Coregonus clupeaformis (lake whitefish), 379 nucleotides long. RefSeq lists it as uncharacterized. Lineage: Eukaryota; Metazoa; Chordata; Actinopteri; Salmoniformes; Salmonidae. The transcript is spliced from 3 exons. The record is from RefSeq and is a predicted model, not a curated record.